UACGGAGGGGGCUGAGCGUUGUUCGGAAUUACUGGGCGUAAAGCGCGCGUAGGCGGCUUUGUAAGUUAGAGGUGAAAGCCCGGAGCUCAACUCCGGAAUUGCCUUUAAGACUGCAUCGCUAGAAUCAUGGAGAGGUGAGUGGAAUUCCGAGUGUAGAGGUGAAAUUCGUAGAUAUUCGGAAGAACACCAGUGGCGAAGGCGACUCACUGGACAUGUAUUGACGCUGAGGUGCGAAAGCGUGGGGAGCAAACGGGG
This 255-nucleotide ribosomal RNA is filed under the name uncultured bacterium. RNAcentral describes it as "partial 16S ribosomal RNA". It matches the Rfam family "Bacterial small subunit ribosomal RNA", at positions 524 to 777 of the family's 1533-position model. The record is from RNAcentral.